RNAcentral lists this unclassified non-coding RNA (1403 nucleotides) under Hevea brasiliensis (rubber tree). Lineage: Eukaryota; Viridiplantae; Streptophyta; Magnoliopsida; Malpighiales; Euphorbiaceae. The record is from RNAcentral.
GGACGCAGUGGGGCUUUGGCUCUAUUGUGGAAAUCUAGGGAUUCGAUUUCCUUACUGAGUUACUCCUAGAGUCAUAUCGAUGUAGCAGUUGUGUUGGAGGGCCUUGGGAGAUGGCAUUUAAUGGUUUUUUAUGGGUUGCCAGAAAGGUCUCAUAGAGAAUCUGGGAAACUUUUGCAAACCCUGGCCGUUUCCUCACAUUUACCAUGGAUUUGUAUUGGGGACUAUAAUGAUAUUUUGUCACCAUCAAAGAAGAAGGGUGGUACGACUCAUCUACCUUAGGUGUAUAGUGGUUUUCGUGAUUGUGUUGUUAAUUCGGGUCUUGUUAAUUUGCAAUUGGAUGGCUAUUGUUUUGCUUGGAAACAAGGCAAGGGAUCGGCUUACUGGAUUUGUGAACGAUUGUAUCGUGCUACGGCAAAUUCAGCUUGGCUCUCUUUGUUCCGUUGAGCAUCAUUGUGUUCAUUAGAGAUUUCUUACUCUGAUCAUCUUCCCUUGUUUCUCCGGCCUAUCCAUCCUACAAUGUUUUCUCAUCCUCAGAAGUUUCAUUUUGGAAAUUGCUGGUUACAGGAAUCAAGUUGCAAGCUAUUGUUUCGUCAAGUUGGUGUUCAUACUCUUAUAUGGGUAUCUUCGACCAAAUUAAACGUUGCGGGUAAGCCUUUUUCUUAUGGGGUACAGACCUGCAUUCUGAUUACAAGAACAGAUUGUCAUCAUGUAAAGCUUGAAUUAUUGCCCUUCGCUCCUCUAGAGAUCCAGAAGAUGUGCGUCUAUUUGUUGAGGAUAAUAUGGAAUAUCUUCAAAUUCUGUUCCAAAAAGAAGUGUACUGGAAGCAACGUUCCAAACAGUUUUAGCUUUGAUCAGGGAAUUCUAAUACAAGAUACUUCAUAGUAUGGCUAAUGCAAGACCAAAGAGGAAUUAAGUUAUAAAACUUUGGGAUAACAGUGGCAUUUGGCAUAACUGGCCGUAUGAUUUGGGGAGCCUUAUGCAAAUGCAUUUCACUAAUCUUUUUACUGCUCAGGCAGGUUCUAUGGUUGAAGUCCUAGAUUGUGUGGAUUCAGGAGUAACACAAGACUAGAAUGCUUCUUUGGUUUCUCCUUUUACUAAAGAGGAGGUUAAAGCAACAGUAUUUAGUAUGCAACCGAAUAAAUCCCCAGGCAUAGAUGGCAUUAAUCUGAGGUUUUAUUAGAAAUUUUGGUCCAUUGUUGGAAGGGAUGUAUCGCAAGCUUACUUGGGUAUUUUAUAGGGUUGUUACUUUCCAGAAGGAUUGGAUGAUACAUCCAUCGUCCUAAGUCCGAAAAAGAAGAAUCCUUAGACUACGGGUGAUCUCAGUCCCAUCUCAUUAUGUAAUAUUUUAUACAAAUUUAUUUCCAAGAUGGUAGCCAAUCGUUUGUAGGGCAUUCUUCCUAAAA